Centruroides sculpturatus (bark scorpion) is the source of this 2885-nucleotide long non-coding RNA. RefSeq lists it as uncharacterized. The transcript has 3 exons. The record is from RefSeq and is a predicted model, not a curated record. NCBI's taxonomy places the organism in Eukaryota, Metazoa, Arthropoda, Arachnida, Scorpiones, Buthidae.
GAUACAUUUAGAGACCUCUGGCAUAAGUGGAAAUUUGUGUAAAAUAGCAAACCUUAUUAAGUAUUUCAUAAUUUCUAGUUCUAAACCAAAUAUUUUUGCAAUUUUUACAUAAAUUUUUAUUUAAUUAAUAAGUAUAUGUACUAUAAAUGUUUUUAAUUUUCUCAGAUUCCGUUAUCCGAAAAGAGAGAGACUUCUCCAUUGCAAAAAGUGGAAUUCGUAUAUAAUACCAAAGAAAGAAUUCUUUACACCAGAGAUUUUCUUUUAAACUGUGCCAAAUCACCAUUUAGUCAAAUCCCACCAAAUAAUUUGGAUGAAAUCGCCAAAAUUGCACCGAUUGCAAGAGAAAGUCCAUUAAAUUUCGACCCCAAUCUCUACAAAAGGCAAGGCUUAUCGGUUAUGAAUUUACAGACGAGUCGUCAAAAUUCGGUGGAGAAAACCGAAUAAUCUGUCCGAGAUAAUCCUAAGAAUUAAGAAUCUUAUCUUGUUUCAGUAUAUAUUAUAUAUGCUAUACUAUACUAUAUAUAUAUAAGAAUUUUUUUAACUUACUAUACUAUUAACAGUUUUAUAUAUUUGUGUGUUGAUUUCUCGUGUUGUACAGUAUUCAGAGUAGUAUAGAAAUACUUCAAAAAGACCUUUUUCAUGCAAAUUCUUUUAAGUUAAUUUGUUCUGUAGAUAUUUUUGUAAAGCAAUAAAUACGUAUGUGAAAAAGAAAUGUUGCAUGUCAUCUUGCACCAACCAACAUAAUGCUUUUUUUUCUCUUUAUACUGUGUAUAAAAAUACAUAAUCGACUUAUUUAGUUUUUAUAGACAAAUGUGAUCAAAAACAAAUUCAACUUUGACUUAAAAAUGUAAAUUUUGGUUUCCAAAGAUAUAUCAUUAAAAGUAUUCAAUAUAAAAAAUUCUCUCCUCUAAGUCAUUUCUGCCUGCAUCAGAAGUAAGUUUUCAGACUUAUUACAUUAAUAAUAUUUUAAAAUCAUUUUAAUUUACAAUAUAUGCUGUCCACCUAAUAGUGGUUUGCCCCCAUACAUCACACUUUUCUGUUAACAAUAGUCGUGCCGGUCCUCUAUUAAUUGCUUUCGUGGGGACAUUUUGAAUUGAAAAAAACGUGACUUUCAUGUAUUUUUAAUAUUAACUUUAUCCAGUUUGAUGAUGUAUCAAUACACAAUACAUUCAACCCCUGAUGGCGACUGAUGAAUCUCUCUGAAAAGUGAAAUAAGAUUGAAAUUCUUAAUAAUGGGCAAAAUAAAUUGAAUUUAUUUCAUGCGAUGGCCGAAAACAGACAAAGAUAUUUAUUCAAACAAAUUUCGUGCGAUUUUCAGGGACGGACAAGCCUUGAGACAUAAAAUUUAAGUUCGUCUUUUACCACUCCACGGUUGACAUUCCGCACCAUGUAAAUGUAGAAGAUAAUUUACCAAAUUCCAAACACAAGAAAAUGAUUGAAGCAAAAAAUUUACAUAUUAAUUAUUAAAAAAAUAAAAUUUUUUUUUUUUAAAUUCUAAUUUUUACGAAAUUCGAACAUUGUUGAUGUCUUUUAACGUUUGAAUCGUCACGUGACGUAUUUUGAACACAGUUCAGACGUGUUUUUCUUGCGGUUUGUGGAGUUCGAGAAAGAAGAAGAGAGAUUUUUGAGGUAAGUCUUAGCCCAUAUUGACCCUAGACGUAAGAAUUUAUUUAAUAUUGCUGGAAGAAGCAUCAGCAGAAGACACCUCAGACCAUCAUUCGACAGUCACCUGUUUUCAUUUUCGAUUCGAAUGUUUUAAAUUUAAAAAGGAAGCUGCGGUGAGCAUUUUGCUUUAUUAAUUUAAGCUUUUGUUUUCAGAGGACUAAUUGCAAAUUUUCUUUUUUACAGAAUGAAGAAGUUGGUGCAAUUUUGGAGGAGGUUCUGCAGAGGGCAUGGAACAAAUCUGUUGUACUCAUACUGCACCCAAAGAGACACUGGAGGAGUGGGGGCUCGAUGAGCAAGAGGCAGCGGGUAAAAAAGACCUUUCCCAAGUGUGUAGAAUGGCAUCCUCCCGGAGUCGGGAUUAUGCGAUGCUACUUUCUGGGUCCGAUGUAUUUGGCCACGGUCUUAGGGGUUCAUCCAGCCACAGACCUUGCUGUGGAAGAUGUAGAAAGUGACGGCUUGUGUAAGUUGACAUUUUCUGGUUGGUCGCGUUCUGCCUGUUCACCCGCCACAGGGACACCACUGCCUUGCCGAAGUUGGAAUGGGGAGGAAUUGGAGGAAAGAGUCGCCCGAGUCUCGGGACCGUGGUAUGUGGUUUUGUUGCUGCAGAUGGUGAUCCUCUUCGAUUUUCCCCUUCUUCACCCGGACUCGACACCUUUUCCCAGACCUGACCCACAUACUUGUCUCCCGAAUGUGACACUUGGUCGAUGACAACAGAUUUGACUCCUGAUUGUGACCACCUAGAUGUAACACGUUUACUCACUGGACGCAACAUUCAGCUGACCUUUCUUUCCAAACAGCUGUUAUGGGGAUUGAGCUUCCGGUUGGUCAAGUCCUUUCCUCCGGAACAGUGUUAUGAGAAAAGGUGAAGACUGUCUUAUAAAGGAACUACAAAAUGUUCUUACUACUACUACCUCCCAAACAAGACAAAGCGGCUGUUCAUCAUACAAGUGAAUAUUUCCUGAAAUUUCCGACGGUAAGAACUCUUUUUUGUUUUCUCUUUUUACACAUUUUAUUCUCUUAUCGUAAUUUACUGUUUUUCUGAUUUUAGACACACUGAAAGAUGUUCUUCAAUCACGCACACACAUACACUCAUCAUCAUUGUACACGAAAAUAUACACCGUUUUAAUUAACCUUUACUUGAAUUCUCACACUCACGCACUUAGAGAACGAGGCGCUUGGCGUGUAAUUUUACACAAUGAAACAACCCAAACACUCGCUUC